CCUUCAGGGGGCAACGUGAGUAUUUCACAGACCUGACACCACGGACGGCCGCUAACUAGAUCAAAACAUGGCGGGUAUAAAAACCCGGACUAUCAUCCGUUGUAAUCCGGACCCACUCAACCGUUUUCAACGUCAGCUCCACGUCACUGACACCGAGAGCGUUUUACUCACAGCCAUCCCAGGGGGUGUGGGAUCUGAGCCAUGCCUCCGGGAGAGACGGGGUAGCAGGCCGCAUGAGGGGUCCUCGACAUACCUGCCCCAUAAACAGCAGUACAGUGUGAGGUUAACCAGGUCUUACCAGGUGUGUAGGAGUAGCAGAGUCUCUGAUAGCUGAUCUUCCAGGGACGUCGAGUAGAGGCCACUGAAACGGCAGGUACUGUGGAGGAGAGAAGGAAGGUUAACCGGCCUACCUUAACACACUCUUAAAAAAAAAAAAAAGCAGCAAACUGUGAUGACCUGGGAAAAUCCAAGGGCGCCGGAUGUUGCAGUUCCUGCCGAGCCACUCGCCACCGUCUUUGAUACCAGACUGAACAGACAGCGGUUUCAAAAUACACAGACACACCUUCGUAGAUGAGCGCGCAUACACCCGCCUUUAACCGGAGAAAAGUAAGUUACCGAUAGGAGCUGGAAGAUACUGUGCCGAGGGUCAAAUGGAAUAAUCGACACCACAGAAACAUGUUACGUUUGGAGAGGGCGUGUUUGCUUUUGUGUCUGUACGGAAGCUCUGGGUCUUGAGUCAGACAAAGGAAAGCGUCCAAAAAGUUUGCCUUCGCCCUCGUCCCAUCCCCCACACGUGUAAAUCCUACCAGCCCCCAAACCACCAGGGUCCCUCUGCUGACCAAGCUGUCUGAAAACAGGGAACCCCUUCCUCUCUCAGACGCAGAAAAGAAGAGGCCUUUGGUGCUCAUUCAACUGCGAGUGACGUCCACAGACCCGCAACUGUGAUCCGAAAAAAAACAAAGCUCUCCUCCUGACUGCCGAGUGCCAGUGUCGGAGUGUUUUCGUUAACUCUCAUCCUUCAGCCUUCUGAUCUUCUCCUACGCAUUGAGGUGAUUCUAAGUCAUAUUAUCAUCAUAAUAAGGAGACGUCAUUACCAGCACACCGUGGAGCAGUUACAACUGGAGGCUUGUUGCAGGGAUUCAGGUGGGUCCCUCUACUCGUGAAGCCCACCGAGGCAAGUGCUCCUCGCCCUGUGAAAACAGCUGCAUCGCGUCUUUUGUUGCUCCGGAGCCGUUUUCUAAAGUCUGAGUAAAUGACUCUGAUGAUUUCAGAGUGAUGUCAUCGGGGUUAUCUCCACUUGGGCUGGGGGACUUUUUUUUUUUUUUUUUUUAACAGAAAGCCCCCAUUGCGAACUGGAGUUUGAACAAUGUGACCGUUUACCAGGCGGGGAGGAUGUAACAGAAGACUGGGUUUGCAUUGUGGGCACUGUAGGAUCCAGUGUUUUUGGAGCUCGACCUGUACUUCUAAAUAAAAAUGAG
Xiphias gladius (swordfish) is the source of this 1478-nucleotide long non-coding RNA. RefSeq lists it as uncharacterized. The transcript has 5 exons. The record is from RefSeq and is a predicted model, not a curated record. Lineage: Eukaryota; Metazoa; Chordata; Actinopteri; Istiophoriformes; Xiphiidae.